This 5509-nucleotide long non-coding RNA is filed under the name Citrus sinensis (sweet orange). RNAcentral describes it as "long non-coding RNA (CSIN_LNC001493)". Lineage: Eukaryota; Viridiplantae; Streptophyta; Magnoliopsida; Sapindales; Rutaceae. The record is from RNAcentral.
GGAGGUGAGAAGGGGAGAGAGAGUGGUAACAAUGGUGGAAGGUCAGAAACAAGAGAGGUGUCCUUCAAAAUGAGCUUCACGCCUGCAAAACAGUGAAAUAGAGGUUAGAGGUGAAGCCGGGGUACCCCGGCGUUCACACUCCGACGCUCAAGUUAGCAAACUCAAGCUUUUAUGGCAAAGAGAGCUAGCUAGCCCUCUGUAAAUUAGGGUUUAAGGUUGAAGAAAACCUAUUUUUUGGAGUGUGAGUGUUUUUGGGCGAAUGAGAGCAUGAUGGAGAAUGAAACCUAGGCACCUUUAUAUAUGGAGUACCUCUGCUGCCACGUGGCGUACCCUUUUUGGCUAACGUCCUUUUACCUUUUUAUGAUUUUUGGGCCGUUAUGUGCAUGUUCGCGGCGUAUCUCAUCCUUUGGAAACGUGGCGCGCGCUGGAGAGUGGUCCAGGGUACCUCUGCAGUAACUGUCGGGUAGGCGGCUGAGGACCACUGUCCUUGGGACAGUGUCAUUUACUUUUGGCAGAGGUAGCAGGCGGCUGUCCCCCCCUUUUGGUACGACGUUCUUGAUACCUUAUUCUGACAAAAUCGAAUAAUAUCUUUUAAGAAGUGGAGACGUUUCUCAUGGCGGAUAUUUUCGGAGGAUUCUCUUGCAUCUGAUCUGCCGGGUACCUCGAGUUACGUGGGGUACCUCAAUUUAUAUGGGGUACCCCUAAUUGUGCGGGAUACCUCUAUUUGUGUGGGGUACCUCUAAUCAAGCAGGGUACUUCUAAUUACGCCGGGUACCUCUAAUCAAGCCGGUGACCUCUAAUUACGCCGGGUACCUCUAAUCAUGCGGGGUACCUCUAAUCAGGCCGGGUACCUCUAAUCACGCAGGGUACCUCUAAUCAUGCGGGGUACCCCUAAUCAAGCCGGGUACCUCUAAUCAUGCGGGGUACCCCUAAUCAAGCCGGGUACCUCUAAUUACGCCGGUUACCUCUAAUUAUGCACGGUACCUCUAAUCAUGCGGGGUACCCCAGUCUAUGCGGGGUACCUCGAGUUACUCUGGAGUUAUGCGGGGUACUUCUGACCGUGCCGGGUACCUCAAAUCAUGGCAGGUACCUCUAAUCGUGCGGGGUACCUCUAAUCAUGUCGGGUACCUCAGAUUGCACUGCAGUUAUUUCAUUCGUCGACACAUGGCGUUCUGCUAUCUUUCUUAUUUUUUCCCUAAACAACAUCCCCCUAGUUUCUUUUGGCGAGAAGUAUUGGAGGCAAAAGAAACUUACAUAAAAAGUAGGAGCGACACGUGGCGAUAUGAAGUUUAGCUCAAUGGGCAGCUGAAUAGAGGACGCCUCUAGGGGUACCCUCAUGAAGGAAAGAUCUUUGGAGUGAACAAGACUUUGAGGGGACACUUUGAUGAAGUUUCAGAGGAGAAGGCCCAUAAGGUGGAAGACCCUGAGGAGCUUUAAGUUAAACUUGAGGACUUGGUACCUCGACAGAAGAACAUAGUUGACAAUGCUUUUGAGCGCAUCAUGACCGAGGAAUGGAGUUCUGAUAUGGGGCUGGUGGUGCCAAGAGUAAAGAACUAGGUAGAUAAGCCGGCUAUCUUGAAGGCAAUUGAGAAUAUCAGGGCUUCCCACACAUCUUGGUCUGAAAGCCCAUAGAGAUCAACUGGGGUACCUCAGAUGAAGUCGCCAUAAGGUACCCCUGAUACCGACGCUUGUGUUUCUACUAUUUCUAGCACUUUUGUUGAUCCCCUUAUCCUAAAUGAUGAAGGUGAAGAUAACCAUCUUAGUAUGUAACCUUGUUCGGCAUUACCGACAAGGCGUAUGGGGUACCUCGGGUACCUUUAAGCUUGGAUAUCCCUUGAGCUAUCUGUUACUUCAAGGCGGGAUAACCCAAUUUUAUCAAACAUAUGGCGAUUCCUUCAAAUAUGCUUGCUGCUUAUCUCAGGCUUUCUUAGAGUUCCUCUUGGUGUACACGAGGAAUGAUUUUCUGUCAUAGGGUACCCUGAGUACUAUGGGUACCCUUAAUCUUGUCUCAUCAGUGUAUCGCGGUUUACUUAGACAUGCUUGUUGCGGUUAAUUCAUGGCGGAACAACCCAAUUUCAUCACACAUAUGGUGAUUCCUCCGGAUAUGCUUGUUGCUUAUCUCAAGCUUUCUUAAGGUUCCUCUUGGUGUAUUUGAGGAGUGACUUUCUGGCGUGGGGUACCUCGGAGAUACCCUUAAUUAGUGUAUGACGAUUUUCAUAGAAAUGCUUGCCGCAAAUCUUCACAAAACUUAUGGCGAUUCCUUUUGAGAGAUGAUGGAAAACCUCAUGAUCCACCAUUCACUCUACAUCAAAUAUGCAAGACAAAUAGUAAUAAAGGUGGACUGCUGGCCUACCUUUAUGCAAGAUGGUCAAAAAUCUCAUGAUCCGCCAUUUGCGUAGAAUCAAAUAGACAACAUAGAUUGAGAUAAAGGUGGCUGCUCGCCUACCCUUAUGCGAUAUGGUCGAAAAGCUCAUGAUCCACCAUUCGCUAGAAUCAAAUAGACAACAUAAAUUGAGAUGAAGGUAGCUGCUCGCCUACCCUUAUGCGAGAUGGUCGAAAACCUCAUGAUCCAUCAUUCGCAUGGAAUCUAAUAGACAAUAUAAAUAAAGAUGAAGGUGGCUGCUCGCCUACCCUUAUGCGAAAUGAUUGAAACCUCAUGAUCGACCAUUCGCUCAGAAUCAAAUAUGGCGAACAAAUAAUGAUAAAGGCGGCUCUGAUGUUGAGUAGAUUAUCAUAAUUGGAGAUAGGUCAGGUACCUUGGGUACCCUGGAGUAAGAUGAUCUCUGCAUACCCUCUUGCAUCAUAAUAAAUAAUACUUUUACUAGUAGUAUGACUUUUCUUUAUUGGAUUGGUGGCCCAAAUCGAGACUGAAACCGAGUCUUCAACCGGGGUACCCCGUUUUUCAUCUUUGGGUAUUCGAGGAUCCAAAGGUGCCUCCAAUUCACAUUUGGGCUUAAUUCGUUCCCCGUGGGGUACUCCCGCAUAACUCUAGAGUAACUAGUUAUGGGGUACCCUACCACCGAGGCCUCGGUGGUGGCUCUUGCUGCUCUGGUGGUGGCGAUCUUGGAGGUUGGGGUACCCGUGAGAUACUCUGAGUGUUAAACACCCAUCCCCGCGCGGCAACCCGUGGAAGGCUCCGCAUUCAGGAUACCCUUAGUAUUAAGGUAUCUGAGGCAUGGUGAAUGCUUCAUGAAGAGCUGCCGUCCAAAUCUCUAUAGUGAACGACGAUUGGUAGGUCAUCGGCGUUGGAGCAGCUGUGAUGUUUUGCUUCUCGGAGAGGAGCUUCACAUGGGCUUCCAGGUUUUCCAUCUUUUCCACAAGUUCGAGGGGUACCCUCGGUGUACCCAAUGAUGUCGCCGCCAUUUGAGAAGCCCUUUUGGCGUUUAACUUCUCACGGAGAUCUUCGUGGGUACGCUUUGCACGCCUCGUACCUUGGCUGCUGCGGGAAUUGCAAGAGGCGGUGGAACGCUCGUCGCGGGAGCCCACGGUUUGAAAAUUAGAACGGGUACCCGAUGGCCUAUGCUUUGGUUUGCUGGCCUCGGGUACCUCUUUUUUUACCAUAGCUUGGUCGCUCGUUUGAGGUGGUGGAGCAUCUAGCGUCACUGGUGGAAGUGAACUUUAGGGUGCCCGAGAUCCAACCGCCCUAAGUAUUCUGUGGGCAAGAUCCUCGAAACGCUUGUGAGAAAUAGGUUCCUCCUCUUGGCGAACACCCGUCGAUUGCUUGAUACCCUUUCCCUUGUUGAUGCGGGCUACCCUUCUUGUAAGAUCACUACCUUCAUUGCUGCCAUCAUCUCUCAUCCUUGUAGGAUCCCCCAUUAAACCUUCGGGAGGUACGUCGGGUGCCAUGUAUUGGAGUACACACAACAACUAGUUUGGUAACCGCGGAGAAGGCUUUUUGUGCGACUCCCCACAAACGGUGCCAAUUGUUUGCGGCUGAUUUUGGGUCAAUGAAUAAAAAACCACAAAACCAACCCAAGAGCAAUAAAUUUAUAUUUUUGUCGAGGAGCGGGGUACCUCGCUUGUUCGGCACGUGCGAGCUGUUCAGGCUUUUUGUGGAGUGAAGGAGGAUUGAGAUGACGGUAGAUAUGGAGGGGGUCUAACUUCAGGUGUGGAGGGCUGGUGAAACUCGCCUUAAACCUGCGAAACAACCAAAAACGAGGUCAGAGGUGGAGCCGGGGGUGGCCGGCGACCACACUCUGACGCUCAAGUCAGAGUCGGGUUAUCUCAGGUUAGAGAGCUUGCAAGCUCUUGGUAAUGGAGGUUUUGAGGUUGAAGAAACCCUCGUUUUCUUUUCGUGGUGAGUGUGUUCACUCCUUUGAUAAAAAUCAAACCUGAGUAUUUAUAUGGUGUACCCCGGUCGCCAUGCCACAUGGCGCUAUUUUAGUGGUGUUCCCUGCUGUCAUGUCAGAAAUAUUCUUAUUUUCAUGCGUAUGGCGGCUUUGGCAUUUCAAAAAUAUGCGUGGAGAGCAAGUUUGUGGCGUAUUCACGUGCUGGGCGUAGUGGAGUGGUCACCCGACUUUAAACAGUAACACGAUUUGACCCGGAUGAACAGUAAUGCGGUUUGGUUGAAAAUAAUCCUGUGUGAUGCAUGCACCGUACGCGAUAUUUUUCGUCCACUGAUAUGCUGCCACGUCACCGUCAACAGUACAUAAGAAUUUUAGUCCAACAGGAUCGUUACACCUCAUCAGUCAAUGCCACAUCAUCGGUCAAUGCCACGUCAUCGAUCCGUCUAUGUGAACAGUGCCAUGAACAGUAACAUAUACAGUACCGUCUACGUGAAUAGUACCGUACAUGUGAAUAGUGUCAUUUUUCCUUUCAUGCUCCUCCUAAGGUUUUCAACCGUCCUGAGUUCAAAAGUGAUGCUCUUUUUGCCAUCUGAUCUCUCGUUUAUUGUGGAAUGACUAUGAUGCCCCUAAAAUACAUAAAAUACUUAAUUAAAAUAAAACACAUGUAAUUAAAUCACAAGAAGGUUAAAUACAUAAAAGUAAGGGUUGUUAGUAAGACUUGAAAUGUAAAAUGACGGUUUUCUCCUUUAUAAAUAUGCAUUUUCUAACACUCAACAUCAGGUGCCAUGUAUUGGAGUACUCACACACAACAACUAGUUUGGUAACCGCGGAGGAGGCUUUUUGUGCGACUCCCCACAGACGGCGCCUGUUGUUUUCAACUGAUUUUGGGGUAGGAAAAUCCAAAAUCAAUCUUGAACAAUGAAUUUAUAUUUUUGGGGGAGAUGGGGUACCUCACUAGUUUAUUGUGUGCGGUGCGGUGUAUCUGAAGUUCGGGGGAGGUGAGAAGGGGAGAGAGAGUGGUAACAAUGGUGGAAGGUCAGAAACAAGAGAGGUGUCCUUCAAAAUGAGCUUCACGCCUGCAAAACAGUGAAAUAGAGGUUAGAGGUGAAGCCGGGGUACCCCGGCGUUCACACUCCGACGCUCAAGUUAGCAAACUCAAGCUUUUAUGGCAAAGAGAGCUAGCUAGCCCUCUGUAAAUUAGGGUUUAAGGUUGAAGAAAACCU